AGUGAACGCUGGCGGCAGGCCUAACACAUGCAAGUCGAACGGCAGCACAAGAGAGCUUGCUCUCUGGGUGGCGAGUGGCGGACGGGUGAGGAAUGCAUCGGAAUCUGCCCAUUUAUGGGGGAUAACCUCGGGAAACCGGGACUAAUACCGCAUACGACCUACGGGUGAAAGCAGGGGAUCUUCGGACCUUGCGCAGAUGGAUGAGCCGAUGCCGGAUUAGCUAGUUGGAGGGGUAAAGGCCCACCAAGGCGACGAUCCGUAGCUGGUCUGAGAGGAUGAUCAGCCACACUGGGACUGAGACACGGCCCAGACUCCUACGGGAGGCAGCAGUGGGGAGUAUUGGACAAUGGGCGCAAGCCUGAUCCAGCCAUGCCGCGUGUGUGAAGAAGGCCUUCGGGUUGUAAAGCACUUUUGUUGGGAAAGAAAAGCAGCCGGUUAAUACCCGGUUGUCAUGACGGUACCCAAAGAAUAAGCACCGGCUAACUUCGUG
RNAcentral lists this ribosomal RNA (490 nucleotides) under uncultured bacterium. RNAcentral's name for it is "partial 16S ribosomal RNA". It matches the Rfam family "Bacterial small subunit ribosomal RNA", at positions 29 to 507 of the family's 1533-position model. The record is from RNAcentral.